UACGGAGGGGGCUAGCGUUGUUCGGAAUUACUGGGCGUAAAGCGCACGUAGGCGGCUUUGUAAGUUAGAGGUGAAAGCCCAGGGCUUAACCCUGGAAUUGCCUUUAAGACUGCAUCGCUAGAAUCGUGGAGAGGUGAGUGGAAUUCCGAGUGUAGAGGUGAAAUUCGUAGAUAUUAGGAAGAACACCAGUGGCGAAGGCGGCUCACUGGUCCGGUACUGACGCUGAGGUGCGAAAGCGUGGGGAGCAAACAGG
Molecule: ribosomal RNA, 253 nt
Filed under: uncultured bacterium
Lineage: Bacteria
Description: partial 16S ribosomal RNA
Rfam family: Bacterial small subunit ribosomal RNA
Source: RNAcentral